UUGCUUGAAUUUUUAAAUUUGAUUUUGAUGUUGAGUUUUAUCUGUGAAGCCAGAGAUGAAUCAGAGCAGAUUUUCUCCCAAAUCAUCAAAAUGAAUGCCAAGUUUAAUCGCAGCCCGAUUGCUAAGGAGUCUGUUGAAAGUGCCAUAGAAUGUUGUCGGUUAUGCCACAGCAAUCCACUGUGUAGAGCAAUAAAUUUUAUAGCUAACAAGCGAUGCGAAGUCUUGGAUGACAUACCGUUAGAUCCGAACACUUUAAUAGCUGAUGAACAGUCGGAGUAUUGGGAGAAGACCUGUCAACCAUCAUUUGGUGUUACAGCAGCCGAUUCAUUUCAAGUCUUGGAAUCAAGGAUAAUUGCUGGUUGGGGUCUUAAUGUCUAUAAUGUGAAGUUUGAUUCCAGCUUAUCUCAAACCAAUAUAUCGUACCUUGGUACGGUGCCGGUAUUAAGCAUGGGUAGACAAAUGACUAUGUCUAACGUUGCUGUAAUGGAAACUCAAGAUGCCUCAAUCAGUUUGAUCGAAGAUGGUAACGGUUGGACCACCUGUAAUCUGCACAGCAGUACAUGUACCAGUCCAGGAACAUGGGGAAAACAUUUGGUAGAGUUGAUUAACGGAAGUCGGGUGUGGGCUCUUUUAUCAAACAGAAACGGUGAUGGAGUCUAUGUUUUCAGCUAUGACAAAGUCAUUGAAGUAUCUACACCAAGUUUUGGUGCCUGGCUGAUCAUAAAUACGUAUGACCUCAAUGAUAACAGUACCGAUAACAUAUGGAGACAUGUUCCAAAAGGUAUCAUCGCUGCUUCUUGGAUUAUGCAAAAUAUCCCCGAACUCAGAAAUGCUUUUUUGUUAACUAACGACUAUUACAUUGUAUUUGAUAUCAUAACUCAUACUGUUAUACACAGGGGACAUUUAUGUCAACAAGUGUUAUAAUUAUCUACCAAUUGUUUCGAUGAUAAUUUACCAUCACAAAGAGUAGCGCUUAAUGAACUCGUGAAUUUGGAAUGAAUCUACAUGUAUAAUAGAAUGUUUUGAUGUGAAGAACAAUUGGUUUCAAAAAUUACAUCUUCUUAGAUUAAAUCUACCGACCAUUGAACUGUUUGAGGAAAUAAAAGGUGUCAGUGUUCCAAUUGACAUAGGCUCUCUUAAUUUCCAUUACAUCUUAAUACAAACUUAUUUUCUAUAAUAUAUAAAUUAAAGUUAUAUGUCUCGCGAGGAACUAUGCAGAUCUGCUACAUAAAAGCAUCAGUAAAUUAAAUAUGUUUAUAUCUUCAUUUAUUAAACAUGUAUUAUAUUAUGUUCUUUAGUAAUAUUUUCUUUAAAUAUUUUAAUUGUCCAUACCCCUCUAACCAGGAUAAUUAUAUUUAGA
Patella vulgata (common limpet) is the source of this 1360-nucleotide long non-coding RNA. RefSeq lists it as uncharacterized. The record is from RefSeq and is a predicted model, not a curated record. The transcript has 3 exons. NCBI's taxonomy places the organism in Eukaryota, Metazoa, Mollusca, Gastropoda, Patellidae.